UCGCCGGUGGCGCGGGCGGUGGCCACGGCGGCCGUCAUCAGGCCGGGGUCGGGAGUGACCUUCUCCGCGUGGGCGUUCCACGCGUUCGCCGCGGC
RNAcentral lists this transfer RNA (95 nucleotides) under Phytohabitans rumicis. Its description in RNAcentral is "tRNA-Met". Lineage: Bacteria; Bacillati; Actinomycetota; Actinomycetes; Micromonosporales; Micromonosporaceae. The record is from RNAcentral.